UCUUGGAGUUCUAGCUCACCUUUCUGGUGUUGUUCUUGUACUCAUCUGUUUAAUCUAGUUCUACCACUUCUUCUUGAACUUCUUAUUAGAUUUCAAGUCUGUAUUUUGUGUCCGUGACAGUUUGUCGAGACUACACUAACUUGAGAUAUCAGAGCUAGUUCUUUCUUAGUAGAGUGUGGAUUACCCAUCUACUUGAAGGUAUACUAGCAUUUUUUAGAGGUUGCGGAUUACCCUCCUCUAAACUGAUAUUUUCUCAAUCACAAUAUCAGAGCUUAGUUCUUUGAGGCAGAGAGUGGACUACCCCUUUCCUUGGAGAUACUUGAGUGUUUUAAGGGUUGCGGAUUACCCUCUCUUGGACUGAUAUUAAUUCCUUCUUUUUGUUUAGCAUAGCUAGUAGAAAAGACUGUUAACAUCGAUUUCAGAGGUUUGCCUUCUUGAUAGAGUGCGGAUUAUCCCUCUUCUCGAAAG
RNAcentral lists this long non-coding RNA (468 nucleotides) under Physcomitrium patens. RNAcentral's name for it is "long non-coding RNA (PPAT_LNC006540)". The record is from RNAcentral. Lineage: Eukaryota; Viridiplantae; Streptophyta; Bryopsida; Funariales; Funariaceae.